RNAcentral lists this long non-coding RNA (269 nucleotides) under Carica papaya (papaya). Its description in RNAcentral is "long non-coding RNA (CPAP_LNC005206)". The record is from RNAcentral. Lineage: Eukaryota; Viridiplantae; Streptophyta; Magnoliopsida; Brassicales; Caricaceae.
CUUAAUUGGGAAUUUUCCUUUUCAAUUUCAAAUUUUAUCAAUCCAAAUAAUUCAGUCCAAAUAAUUCUCAGUCCAUUGGGUUUGUCUUCUGGUUUCGUCUCCUCAUAGGGUUCAAAUUGUUUAGGUUUACUGAUCAUGAUUUGGAUUCUGUUUUUUUAUCAAAAAUUAGGUCAUUGUCUGUUCAAAUUUCAAAAUUCAUAAUUUAAUAAAAUGAACGCACAUUUCGAAAUUCAAACCUAGUUGAGAAUUAGAAAUACUUACUCUCCUAU